GAUGAAGAACGCAGCGAAAUGCGAUAAGUAAUGUGAAUUGCAGAAUUCAGUGAAUCAUCGAAUCUUUGAACGCACAUUGCGCCCGCCAGUAUUCUGGCGGGCAUGCCUGUUCGAGCGUCAUUUCAACCAUCAAGCCCUGCUUGCGUUGGGGUCCUGCGGCUGCCCGCAGGCCCUGAAAACCAGUGGCGGGCUCGCUAGUCACACCGAGCGCAGUAAUACAUCUCGCUUUGGGCGUGCGGCGGGUUCUUGCCGUUAAACACCCCCUUUUUACCAAGGUUGACCUCGGAUCAGGUAGGAAUACCCGCUGAACUUAAGCAUAUCAAUACGCGGAGGA
RNAcentral lists this unclassified non-coding RNA (334 nucleotides) under soil metagenome. RNAcentral describes it as "partial contains 5.8S ribosomal RNA, internal transcribed spacer 2, and large subunit ribosomal RNA". The stretch from base 1 to 120 matches the Rfam family "5.8S ribosomal RNA", at positions 35 to 154 of the family's 154-position model. The record is from RNAcentral.